This 297-nucleotide long non-coding RNA is filed under the name Trifolium pratense (red clover). Its description in RNAcentral is "long non-coding RNA (TPRA_LNC012033)". The record is from RNAcentral. Lineage: Eukaryota; Viridiplantae; Streptophyta; Magnoliopsida; Fabales; Fabaceae.
ACUCUCUUCCCCCUUUUCUCAUCUCUCUCAUCUGUGAUUUGUAGUAAAAUGUGACUGCAAUAAAUACCUAGUCGUCCUUUGAGAUAAUAUUUCUUUUUUCACCAUGUUCCACAGUUGUGUUUUAUCUGUUAUUACUGUGGCACCCCACCCAACAGAGUAAACUCUUAGACGAUGAACCUUUUAAUCAGAAAAUUUGUAUUAGUAAAUCACACAUAUAUACUAUUAUAAUAAUUUUGUAAUGUAUACUUUAAACUUACCUUAUUAUCAACUUUGUUGAUAGAUGAUAUUGAUUGCUCA